CUUUCUUUUGCUGGCGACCGGCGCACGGGUGAGUAACACGUAUCCAACCUGCCCUUUACUCGGGGAUAGCCUUUCGAAAGAAAGAUUAAUACCCGAUAGCAUAAUGAUUCCGCAUGGUUUCAUUAUUAAAGGAUUCCGGUAAAGGAUGGGGAUGCGUUCCAUUAGGUUGUUGGUGAGGUAACGGCUCACCAAGCCUUCGAUGGAUAGGGGUUCUGAGAGGAAGGUCCCCCACAUUGGAACUGAGACACGGUCCAA
This 255-nucleotide ribosomal RNA is filed under the name uncultured bacterium. RNAcentral describes it as "partial 16S ribosomal RNA". It matches the Rfam family "Bacterial small subunit ribosomal RNA", at positions 78 to 334 of the family's 1533-position model. The record is from RNAcentral.